Molecule: ribosomal RNA, 2058 nt
Filed under: Escherichia coli
Lineage: Bacteria; Pseudomonadati; Pseudomonadota; Gammaproteobacteria; Enterobacterales; Enterobacteriaceae
Description: partial 23S ribosomal RNA
Rfam family: Bacterial large subunit ribosomal RNA
Source: RNAcentral
CUUGUGGCUGGGGGUGAAAGGCCAAUCAAACCGGGAGAUAGCUGGUUCUCCCCGAAAGCUAUUUAGGUAGCGCCUUGUGAAUUCAUCUCCGGGGGUAGAGCACUGUUUCGGCAAGGGGGUCAUCCCGACUUACCAACCCGAUGCAAACUGCGAAUACCGGAGAAUGUUAUCACGGGAGACACACGGCGGGUGCUAACGUCCGUCGUGAAGAGGGAAACAACCCAGACCGCCAGCUAAGGUCCCAAAGUCAUGGUUAAGUGGGAAACGAUGUGGGAAGGCCCAGACAGCCAGGAUGUUGGCUUAGAAGCAGCCAUCAUUUAAAGAAAGCGUAAUAGCUCACUGGUCGAGUCGGCCUGCGCGGAAGAUGUAACGGGGCUAAACCAUGCACCGAAGCUGCGGCAGCGACGCUGAUGCGUUGUUGGGUAGGGGAGCGUUCUGUAAGCCUGUGAAGGUGUGCUGUGAGGCAUGCUGGAGGUAUCAGAAGUGCGAAUGCUGACAUAAGUAACGAUAAAGCGGGUGAAAAGCCCGCUCGCCGGAAGACCAAGGGUUCCUGUCCAACGUUAAUCGGGGCAGGGUGAGUCGACCCCUAAGGCGAGGCCGAAAGGCGUAGUCGAUGGGAAACAGGUUAAUAUUCCUGUACUUGGUGUUACUGCGAAGGGGGGACGGAGAAGGCUAUGUUGGCCGGGCGACGGUUGUCCCGGUUUAAGCGUGUAGGCUGGUUUUCCAGGCAAAUCCGGAAAACUAAGGCUGAGGCGUGAUGACGAGGCACUACGGUGCUGAAGCAACAAAUGCCCUGCUUCCAGGAAAAGCCUCUAAGCAUCAGGUAACAUCAAAUCGUACCCCAAACCGACACAGGUGGUCAGGUAGAGAAUACCAAGGCGCUUGAGAGAACUCGGGUGAAGGAACUAGGCAAAAUGGUGCCGUAACUUCGGGAGAAGGCACGCUGAUAUGUAGGUGAAGUCCCUCGCGGAUGGAGCUGAAAUCAGUCGAAGAUACCAGCUGGCUGCAACUGUUUAUUAAAAACACAGCACUGUGCAAACACGAAAGUGGACGUAUACGGUGUGACGCCUGCCCGGUGCCGGAAGGUUAAUUGAUGGGGUCAGCGCAAGCGAAGCUCUUGAUCGAAGCCCCGGUAAACGGCGGCCGUAACUAUAACGGUCCUAAGGUAGCGAAAUUCCUUGUCGGGUAAGUUCCGACCUGCACGAAUGGCGUAAUGAUGGCCAGGCUGUCUCCACCCGAGACUCAGUGAAAUUGAACUCGCUGUGAAGAUGCAGUGUACCCGCGGCAAGACGGAAAGACCCCGUGAACCUUUACUAUAGCUUGACACUGAACAUUGAGCCUUGAUGUGUAGGAUAGGUGGGAGGCUUUGAAGUGUGGACGCCAGUCUGCAUGGAGCCGACCUUGAAAUACCACCCUUUAAUGUUUGAUGUUCUAACGUUGACCCGUAAUCCGGGUUGCGGACAGUGUCUGGUGGGUAGUUUGACUGGGGCGGUCUCCUCCUAAAGAGUAACGGAGGAGCACGAAGGUUGGCUAAUCCUGGUCGGACAUCAGGAGGUUAGUGCAAUGGCAUAAGCCAGCUUGACUGCGAGCGUGACGGCGCGAGCAGGUGCGAAAGCAGGUCAUAGUGAUCCGGUGGUUCUGAAUGGAAGGGCCAUCGCUCAACGGAUAAAAGGUACUCCGGGGAUAACAGGCUGAUACCGCCCAAGAGUUCAUAUCGACGGCGGUGUUUGGCACCUCGAUGUCGGCUCAUCACAUCCUGGGGCUGAAGUAGGUCCCAAGGGUAUGGCUGUUCGCCAUUUAAAGUGGUACGCGAGCUGGGUUUAGAACGUCGUGAGACAGUUCGGUCCCUAUCUGCCGUGGGCGCUGGAGAACUGAGGGGGGCUGCUCCUAGUACGAGAGGACCGGAGUGGACGCAUCACUGGUGUUCGGGUUGUCAUGCCAAUGGCACUGCCCGGUAGCUAAAUGCGGAAGAGAUAAGUGCUGAAAGCAUCUAAGCACGAAACUUGCCCCGAGAUGAGUUCUCCCUGACUCCUUGAGAGUCCUGAAGGAACGUUGAAG